RNAcentral lists this transfer RNA (117 nucleotides) under Sporisorium reilianum f. sp. reilianum. RNAcentral's name for it is "transfer RNA-His(GTG)". It matches the Rfam family "tRNA". Rfam says of the family: Transfer RNA (tRNA) molecules are approximately 80 nucleotides in length. Their secondary structure includes four short double-helical elements and three loops (D, anti-codon, and T loops). Lineage: Eukaryota; Fungi; Basidiomycota; Ustilaginomycetes; Ustilaginales; Ustilaginaceae. The record is from RNAcentral.
GCGGCUUUAGUGUAGUGGUUAUCACGGUUCGUUGUGGUGCGUUUGGGUUUCUUCAUUGUAGAAGGUUUCCUUGUCGCCUGGACCGAGCAGACGGAUGUUCGAUUCCUCCAAGCCGCA